Molecule: ribosomal RNA, 230 nt
Filed under: uncultured bacterium
Lineage: Bacteria
Description: partial 16S ribosomal RNA
Rfam family: Bacterial small subunit ribosomal RNA
Source: RNAcentral
AAAGCGCACGUAGGCGGCUUUGUAAGUAAGAGGUGAAAGCCUGGUGCUCAACACCAGAACUGCCUUUUAGACUGCAUCGCUUGAAUCCAGGAGAGGUGAGUGGAAUUCCGAGUGUAGAGGUGAAAUUCGUAGAUAUUCGGAAGAACACCAGUGGCGAAGGCGGCUCACUGGACUGGUAUUGACGCUGAGGUGCGAAAGCGUGGGGAGCAAACAGGAUUAGAUACCCGAGU